This 493-nucleotide ribosomal RNA is filed under the name uncultured bacterium. Its description in RNAcentral is "partial 16S ribosomal RNA". It matches the Rfam family "Bacterial small subunit ribosomal RNA", at positions 30 to 523 of the family's 1533-position model. The record is from RNAcentral.
AUUGAACGCUGGCGGCAUGCUUUACACAUGCAAGUCGAACGGUAACAGGUUAAGCUGACGAGUGGCGAACGGGUGAGUAAUGCAUCGGAACGUGCCCGAUCGUGGGGGAUAACGCAGCGAAAGCUGCGCUAAUACCGCAUAAGAUCUGAGGAUGAAAGCGGGGGACCGUAAGGCCUCGCGCGAUCGGAGCGGCCGAUGUCAGAUUAGGUAGUUGGUGGGGUAAAGGCCCACCAAGCCGACGAUCUGUAGCUGGUCUGAGAGGACGACCAGCCACACUGGGACUGAGACACGGCCCAGACUCCUACGGGAGGCAGCAGUGGGGAAUUUUGGACAAUGGGCGAAAGCCUGAUCCAGCAAUGCCGCGUGCAGGAAGAAGGCCUUCGGGUUGUAAACUGCUUUUGUACGGAGCGAAAAGGUCCUUUCUAAUACAAGGGGCUCAUGACGGUACCGUAAGAAUAAGCACCGGCUAACUUCGUGCCAGCAGCCGCGGUAA